RNAcentral lists this ribosomal RNA (452 nucleotides) under uncultured bacterium. Its description in RNAcentral is "bacterial SSU rRNA". It matches the Rfam family "Bacterial small subunit ribosomal RNA", at positions 340 to 786 of the family's 1533-position model. The record is from RNAcentral.
UACGGGAGGCAGCAGUGGGGAAUAUUGCACAAUGGGCGCAAGCCUGAUGCAGCCAUGCCGCGUGUAUGAAGAAGGCCUUCGGGUUGUAAAGUACUUUCAGUCGUGAGGAAGGUGUUAAGGUUAAUAACCUUAGCAAUUGACGUUAGCGACAGAAGAAGCACCGGCUAACUCCGUGCCAGCAGCCGCGGUAAUACGGAGGGUGCGAGCGUUAAUCGGAAUUACUGGGCGUAAAGGGCACGCAGGCGGUUAAUAAGUUGGAUGUGAAUCCCCGGGCUUAACCUGGGAAUGGCAUUCAAGACUGGUUAGCUAGAGUCUUGUAGAGGGGGUAGAAUUCCAUGUGUAGCGGUGAAAUGCGUAGAGAUGUGGAGGAAUACCGGUGGCGAAGGCGGCCCCUGGGACAAAGACUGACGCUCAUGUGCGAAAGCGUGGGGAGCAAACAGGGAUUAGAUACC